Molecule: long non-coding RNA, 988 nt
Organism: Andrographis paniculata
Lineage: Eukaryota; Viridiplantae; Streptophyta; Magnoliopsida; Lamiales; Acanthaceae
Exons: 3
Source: RefSeq, a predicted model, not a curated record
UCUUUUCUUCUUCUCCUUCCCGUUUGUCCUCCUUCACAUUCUUUUAAAAUUUUCCCGUAUUUUGAUUUAUAUAAUAUUUUAUCUUAUUUCCCCAUUUCAUUAUCUCCCUUAUGAGCUUCUCCCAAUUCUUUUGUCCCUCCGCCAUUUCAGUAAGCCUUAGCUACCUCCGCUUUCAAUUUUCUUCCAUUUGCCAUCUUCAUCUCCUAUUUUCGAGAAAAAACAAAGAUUCAGCUCCGAUUCAUUUUCAAUUUUGUUUACCCCCAAUACCUUCACCAUAACCUUUUUUCUACCAUCGACGAUGAUGAAAUCGAUAGUACCACCCGCCCCACUUCCAACCGCUUCCGAAUCCAUCAUCAUUCGUCUUGUCUAUAGAUGGUAAACAUCGAAGAAAGGGCAUUCGAUGAAAUUUUGCAUACAGGCUCCUGCUUUGGGGAUAAUUUGAACAUUUUCAGAUUUUUUUUUAAAGAAGAUUCAACACUUAUUUUGCAAUAAGUGUGAGGAGGAGGAUGCCUUAAGAAUUUCCGAGCCUCGAAGAUGUCGAAAAAGACCCCUCCCAAGCAUAAUCAAUGUUGUCCGAGGAUGAACAAUUCUACAAGUGUCAAGAGAGAAGUUUAAUUGGCACCAUAAAAAAUGUGAUACCAUUGACAUAGUGAAGGUUUUUGUCACUGCCGUUCCGGAGGCCGCGCUCAUUCUACGAACGGCAUCUUGAGCGCAAACACUCCGUGAGGUUGUCCACGUCGAGCCAAUAAAAUGGACAUUCAAGGAUGUACAUAACCAUUUUUGAAAGACUUUCUAUUAUAUUAUAACUUAACCAUCUCGCAAGUUAAUUCUUUUAUAAUUCUGCACUAUUUCGGCAACUUGUUCGUCUCCCAUAAUUGCCGUGUAUGUUCACUUUGAUGUUGCAUGGGACGAUAGCGUUGCACAUAAUUCUAUGAUGAUUUGCUUUCCUUUGUGGAUUGAUAUUGAUUGAGUCAUUUCCGUUGGUUGA